GACGAACGCUGGCGGCGUGCUUAACACAUGCAAGUCGAACGGGCCUUGUCCCCUUUUUUUUUGGGGGUGGGGUUAGUGGCGAACGGGUGAGUAACACGUGAGUAACCUGCCCCUCACUUCUGGAUAACCGCUUGAAAGGGUGGCUAAUACGGGGUGUUCUGGCCUGCUCGCAUGGGUGGGUUUGGAAAGAUUCGACCGGUUUUGGUUGUUUUGGUGGGGGAUGGGCUCGCGGCCUAUCAGCUUGUUGGUGGGGUGAUGGCCUGCCAAGGCUUUGACGGGUAGCCGGCCUGAGAGGGUGGGCGGUCACACUGGGACGGAGACACGGCCCAGACUCCUACGGGAGGCAGCAGUGGGGAAUAUUGCACAAGGGGCGCAAGCCUGAUGCAGCGACGCCGCGUGAGGGAUGGAGGCCUUCGGGUUGUGAACCUCUUUCGCCAGUGAAGAAGGUCCUGCUCUUUGUGGUGGGGUUGACGGUAGCUGGGUUAAUGAAGCGCCGGCUAACUACGUG
RNAcentral lists this ribosomal RNA (508 nucleotides) under uncultured bacterium. RNAcentral's name for it is "partial 16S ribosomal RNA". It matches the Rfam family "Bacterial small subunit ribosomal RNA", at positions 28 to 507 of the family's 1533-position model. The record is from RNAcentral.